RNAcentral lists this ribosomal RNA (395 nucleotides) under uncultured bacterium. Its description in RNAcentral is "bacterial SSU rRNA". It matches the Rfam family "Bacterial small subunit ribosomal RNA", at positions 9 to 408 of the family's 1533-position model. The record is from RNAcentral.
GAGUUUGAUCAUGGCUCAGAUUGAACGCUGGCGGCAUGCCUUACACAUGCAAGUCGAACGGUAACAGGUCUUCGGACGCUGACGAGUGGCGAACGGGUGAGUAAUACAUCGGAACGUGCCCAGUCGUGGGGGAUAACUACUCGAAAGAGUAGCUAAUACCGCAUACGAUCUGAGGAUGAAAGCGGGGGACCUUCGGGCCUCGCGCGAUUGGAGCGGCCGAUGGCAGAUUAGGUAGUUGGUGGGAUAAAAGCUUACCAAGCCGACGAUCUGUAGCUGGUCUGAGAGGACGACCAGCCACACUGGGACUGAGACACGGCCCAGACUCCUACGGGAGGCAGCAGUGGGGAAUUUUGGACAAUGGGCGAAGACCUGAUCCAGCAAUGCCGCGUGCAGGA